GAUGAAGAACGUAGCGAAAUGCGAUAAGUAAUGUGAAUUGCAGAAUUCAGUGAAUCAUCGAAUCUUUGAACGCACAUUGCGCCCCCUGGUAUUCCGGGGGGCAUGCCUGUCCGAGCGUCAUUACAACCCUCAAGCUCAGCUUGGUGUUGGGCCCCGCCGCCCCGGCGGGCCCUAAAGUCAGUGGCGGUGCCGUCCGGCUCCGAGCGUAGUAAUUCUUCUCGCUCUGGAGGUCCGGUCGUGUGCUCGCCAGCAACCCCCAAUUUUUUUCAGGUUGACCUCGGAUCAGGUUGGGAUACCCGCUGAACUUAAGCAUAUCAAUAAGCGGAGGA
Molecule: unclassified non-coding RNA, 329 nt
Filed under: soil metagenome
Description: partial contains 5.8S ribosomal RNA, internal transcribed spacer 2, and large subunit ribosomal RNA
Rfam family: 5.8S ribosomal RNA (bases 1-120)
Source: RNAcentral